This 876-nucleotide small RNA is filed under the name Pongo abelii (Sumatran orangutan). RNAcentral's name for it is "retained intron". Lineage: Eukaryota; Metazoa; Chordata; Mammalia; Primates; Hominidae. The record is from RNAcentral.
CUUUCUGGCUGGACUAGGGCACUGCAGAAGAUUGUGCCUGAGCUUAGGGUUGAGCAUACGAAGAUGUGGUGAUGCCGCUUUGCUGGUUAUGAAGGAUUUUAGAAGUUCUGAAAAAUGUUUUCUCUUUUUGAGAGUUCUCCAGCAGGUGGUGACCACUGCACUUGAAACAAUCGAUAUUAGAAAAGAUCAGCUGACCCUUCUUUGCUCUGUGUGUUUAUAAUUUAAUAUAGUUACAAGAAGACAUCUGAAACCUUGUCCCAGGCUGGACAGAAGGCCUCAGCUGCUUUUUCGUCUGUUGGCUCAGUCAUCACCAAAAAGCUGGAAGACGUAAAAAACUCCCCAACUUUUAAAUCAUUUGAAGAAAAGGUCGAAAACUUAAAGUCUAAAGUAGGGGGAACCAAGCCUGCUGGUGGUGAUUUUGGAGAAGUUUUGAAUUCGGCUGCAAAUGCUAGUGCCACCACCACGGAGCCUCUUCCAGAACAGACACAGGAGAGCCUGUGAGAUUCCUACCUUUGUUCUGCUACCCACUGCCAGAUGCUGCAAGCAAGGUCCAAGCACAUCUUGUCAACAUGCAUUGCCAUGAAUUUCUACCAGAUGUGCUUUUAUUUAGCUUUACAUAUUCCUUUGACCAAAUAGUUUGUGGGUUAAACAAAAUGAAAAUAUCUUCACCUCUAUUCUUGGGAAACACCUUUUAGUGUACAUUUAUGUUCCUUUAUUUAGGAAACACCAUUAUAAAAACACUUAUAGUAAAUGGGGACAUUCACUAGAAUGAUCUAAGAAGCUACAGAUUGUCAUAGUUGUUUUCCUGCUUUACAAAAUUGCUUCAGAUCUGGAAUGCCAGUUUGACCUUUGUCUUCUAUAAUAUUUCCUUUUGUU